This 301-nucleotide ribosomal RNA is filed under the name uncultured bacterium. RNAcentral's name for it is "partial 16S ribosomal RNA". It matches the Rfam family "Bacterial small subunit ribosomal RNA", at positions 509 to 807 of the family's 1533-position model. The record is from RNAcentral.
CAGUCGCCGCGGUAAUACGUAGGUGGCAAGCGUUGUCCGGAAUUACUGGGCGUAAAGGGCUCGCAGGCGGUUUCUUAAGUCUGAUGUGGAAGCCCCCGGCUCAACCGGGGAGGGUCAUUGGAAACUGGGAAACUUGAGUGCAGAAGAGGAGAGUGGAAUUCCACGUGUAGCGGUGAAAUGCGUAGAGAUGUGGAGGAACACCAGUGGCGAAGGCGACUCUCUGGUCUGUAACUGACGCUGAGGAGCGAAAGCGUGGGGAGCGAACAGGAUUAGAUACCCCUGUAGUCCCUGUCUCUUAUAC